Molecule: non-coding RNA, 330 nt
Filed under: Candidatus Palibaumannia cicadellinicola
Lineage: Bacteria; Pseudomonadati; Pseudomonadota; Gammaproteobacteria
Description: Candidatus Baumannia cicadellinicola cspA thermoregulator
Rfam family: cspA thermoregulator
Source: Rfam by way of RNAcentral
CACGGUUUAACUAUAGAAUACUAGACAAAAAGCUUAUCAGUUGCUGUACUACUAUUGGACACAGAAUUUGUGUCGAUAAUUUAUUUAAGGGUUAGUUUGAUGUCUAAGAUUAAAGGUAACGUUAAAUGGUUUAAUGAGUCCAAAGGAUUCGGUUUUAUUACCCCUGAAGAUGGCAGCAAAGAUGUGUUUGUACACUUCUCAGCUAUUCAGAGUAACGGUUUCAAAACAUUAGCUGAAGGUCAGCGCGUAGAGUUUGAAAUAACUAAUGGCGCCAAAGGCCCAUCGGCUGCUGACGUUACUGCUAUAUAAUAUUUUCAUGUUGUUUUAUUG